This 450-nucleotide ribosomal RNA is filed under the name uncultured bacterium. RNAcentral's name for it is "bacterial SSU rRNA". It matches the Rfam family "Bacterial small subunit ribosomal RNA", at positions 354 to 796 of the family's 1533-position model. The record is from RNAcentral.
GUGGGGAAUUUUGGACAAUGGGCGCAAGCCUGAUCCAGCCAUGCCGCGUGAGUGAAGAAGGCCUUCGGGUUGUAAAGCUCUUUCGGUGGGGACGAAAAGGUUCGUGCUAAUACCACGGACUAAUGACGGUACCCGAAGAAGAAGCACCGGCUAACUACGUGCCAGCAGCCGCGGUAAUACGUAGGGUGCAGGCGUUAAUCGGAAUUACUGGGCGUAAAGCGUGCGCAGGCGGUUUGUUAAGACAGAUGUGAAAUCCCCGGGCUUAACCUGGGAACUGCGUUUGUAACUGGCAAGCUAGAGUGUGGCAGAGGGGGGUGGAAUUCCAAGUGUAGCAGUGAAAUGCGUAGAUAUUUGGAGGAACACCAAUGGCGAAGGCAGCCCCCUGGGUUAACACUGACGCUCAUGCACGAAAGCGUGGGGAGCAAACAGGAUUAGAAACCCGUGUAGUCC